UACAUGUGGGGCAAGCGUUGUUCGGAAUUACUGGGCGUAAAGGGUAGGUAGGUGGUCUCAUUUGUCUGGGGUGAAAGCCUUGAGCUUAACUCAAGAAGUGCCCCAGAAACGGUGAGACUGGAGUCCUGGAGAGGGUCGUGGAAUUCCCGGUGUAGCGGUGAAAUGCGUAGAGAUCGGGAGGAACACCAGAGGCGAAAGCGGCGACCUGGACAGGCACUGACACUCAACUACGAAAGCGUGGGGAGCAAACAGG
RNAcentral lists this ribosomal RNA (253 nucleotides) under uncultured bacterium. Its description in RNAcentral is "partial 16S ribosomal RNA". It matches the Rfam family "Bacterial small subunit ribosomal RNA", at positions 524 to 776 of the family's 1533-position model. The record is from RNAcentral.